This 23-nucleotide microRNA is filed under the name Panagrellus redivivus. RNAcentral describes it as "prd-miR-7900-5p". Lineage: Eukaryota; Metazoa; Nematoda; Chromadorea; Rhabditida; Panagrolaimidae. The record is from miRBase by way of RNAcentral.
UGGAAUGGGGUGUACCAUGACUG